AGUGAUACCAUCUAAUUUGCGUUCUUUUAGUCUAACAAUCUAUUUUCAACCAUAAAUUCACGGAGCCCAUCAAGCAUGAGACACAACACCAUUAUUGUAAUAAAAUUUACACUGAGAGAUCUAAUUCACCUAAUUUCCAUGCACACAUGAAUGGAUGCACACUUCAUUUGUAAUGCAAACUGAAGAGGCAUGAGCAGAAUCCUGUAUAGUUUCGUUGCUUGUGCAUAUAUAAAAGAUUGUGACCCUCCAUUGCAGAUCAUAAACACACUUAAGGUCACUGCAAAACAUAAGCGCAGGCUUGAUAUUAUAUCCCUUAGUUUACUCUUCAGAUUUUUCAGCACAUUGCCCACCUAAAACAAAGAUGAAAACAUGGAUUCCAUGACCAUGAGAACCUCUUCUAAAGGGGCACCACCAACACAUGGAAUCUGUCCUGGAAAUCACCUUUUCCAUUGUUCCAAUUAUCAACCUCCUAUGUAUCUCAUUAUAAUCCUGAAAAAUCUCUUUCUACUACAACUUUCGGGCAAUUGCAGCAGUAGCUUUCUUAUCAGAUUGGGACGACUGUGCUCCAAUUUCAACCUCCUACCCCACAUAUUCUUUAGAAAAGGAAGCUUUAGAGUGCUGCAGCCCUCGUGACAUUCCUAGCUCACAGACUGCUUGAGACUUGCAAAUGAUACCCCUGAUUCUUCAUCACAUGCUAACAAUGGACAUGAAGCAACGUGACGCAACUCCCAUACCGAUGCUGCAAUGUGGCACUGAAGACACAAGCUCCCGGCACAGCUUCAGACCGAUGGUGCAGGCAAAUUGU
Molecule: long non-coding RNA, 805 nt
Filed under: Phoenix dactylifera (date palm)
Lineage: Eukaryota; Viridiplantae; Streptophyta; Magnoliopsida; Arecales; Arecaceae
Description: long non-coding RNA (PDAC_LNC018065)
Source: RNAcentral